Molecule: long non-coding RNA, 2695 nt
Organism: Gadus morhua (Atlantic cod)
Lineage: Eukaryota; Metazoa; Chordata; Actinopteri; Gadiformes; Gadidae
Exons: 4
Source: RefSeq, a predicted model, not a curated record
UGACCGGAGUAGGAAUAAACGGUUCGCGGAGCUGGCUGGGCGAGGAAACGGGCGCCGCAGCAGGGAAGUCCGACGCGGAGGAGACUGCCGGUCCAUGGAGCGAGACGGGAGCAGCUAGGGAGGAGACCUGGGAACCAAUCUGCUCCAUACGGGCUCCCAGCUCCGACAUGCCGACGGAGAAACCUCGAAGAACCUCGGAAAAGUCCUGUAACGCGGCGUCGUGUUUACCGAUCCUCGUGCCCUGCGAGGAUAGCGCCUGCCGAACCUUGUCUGACUCCGCGGCGUCCAUGUUGGCCAGAUUAUUCUGUUACGAUUGGCGAAAAGGUUGGUUUGGACCCCGGAUGCAGAGACAGAGACAGUACGGACAAUCCACGGUUUAUUGUCAACAAAGGAGAACUCAAAAGAUAACCAGCGGGCAAGGCGAAGACAGGAGCGGGUAGGCGUCGUAGAGUGUUGCGGUCCGGGGGUAAUCCACUGGCGAGGAACUGGCAACUGGCGAAAGAUAACACGACGUUUAGGAAUCACAAAAUCAGGUUAGGGAAUCGAAGGUCGAUGUACACACGUCAGCCAAAAUACCGAAUGAGACGGAAUAAUCUGGCGCCGACGAGAAGUCCCCGCCAGGCUUAAGAAAGUGUGUGAUUAGUUGAUGAGGUCCAGGUGUGCCACGUUGCAGUGCCCAGCUCCGCUCGCCACGCCCCGCACCUGUCUAAGAACCAAUGCCUGUGGAGCAAAUCAUAGAGCAACCGUGACAAUCCUCAUUUAAAGGGGAUCAAUAUUGGGUCAUGAUGUAGGACAGCUGGAGUGUGGCUAAUGUAUAAAUUGGACAUGCUAAUGUCUGCUCGCUUGAUGCUAAUUGUUAGCUACUUUUCAAUGUGUUAAUAUGGUGUAUGUGUUGUGCCAGAAGCCUAAACGGGUUGGACUAUUGUGUAGACUAUAUUAGCUUAAAGUGAAAUCUUAUGUCUUGGUACUGUAAGUCAUUCUGAAAUGAUGACUGUUUUAGUUGAGUAUAUUUAUUGCUCAUUGUUCAAAAAAACUACUGUACAUUUAUUACAUAAGGGAAUUAAUUGUUAUUAUUACAUCUAUUACAAUAGUACAUGCAUAGAAUAAAUACCACUGAAAUGGUUAUGUUUAACUAGCGUAGUCUAUUGUGCAGAAUGCUAACCUCAUUCAUUUAUUUGAAUGCAGGCUGAAAAUGCUGGCAAAAGUGGAAUAUGCGGGAGUCCAAAAAUACAUUAAAGUUCCUCAAACUGAUGAAAAUUUCAAUUUACUCCAGUUUCUUGAAGAAGCGACAGACAAAUUUAGUCUGCAGGCUCAACUUCUAUCCGAGGGUGUGUUAGCCUUGACUGAUACAUCAGAUACCGAGGUUGAUGCAGACACAUUUGAUGAGCUGAUAAAGUCAGGGGUCCGAAACUUCAAGGUUGGAUACCGCAAGUACCCAGUAACAGAGUUGGACAUUGAAUUGGUGGAAUACAACUCGCAGUCCUCCGUAUUGUCAGACUCCACAGCAUCACCAGUUUCAUUGCCAGGACCCCCCGCAUCACCAGCUUCUACAAGUUCAGAUUCGACAAUCAUCUUCCCAUCCACUAAAAUCCGGAAGAGAGGCCUGGUAGAGCUGGAUCGUAAUGAAGCAAGACAGGUAAACUUUGAAACUGUCUACAAAUGUACUGGAUUUUAAGAUUAUUAGAUUAAUUUAUAACAUUAUAUAGUGUUACUAAACUAAUGUAACAAAGCUUAGUACCCUAAUUAAAUAAUUACUUUGUUUAAACGUGAAGCUACUGGUUACUUAAAAAAAAAAAAAAAUUGCAGAAAGUGAUAGGCCUACUAUUCUGAGCUCCAACCCGAAAGGUGAGGAAAUCUUCAAAGAAUAUGACAAAACUAAGACGCUGUCAGACACAACACGCAGACAUAUGAUCAACAUUCUGGUUGCAGAAAUUACGGAUUCACAUGGGUAAGAAAUCCUUUCAAAUGACAGAGGAAAAACAUUGGUCUGCGCCCCUUGGUCUGCUCUGUAUGCGGAUUCCCCCCAGAAGUGUCAGGACUAGUUAUGCAUUCGGAAUUGUGAACCUUUUCCCAUAUCUACAAGAUCCGUACUCAAAGCAUGGAUAUGAACAUUACUAUGACCCUGAGGCGAAUACUGGCUAUCUUGCUUGGAGACUCAAGACAGUCCAACGCAACACGCACAAUGGCCUCCGUGGGCAUUCCAGGCCCAAUCCCCAGGUCAGGCCAACAACCCAACGAAAAUCUUUGUUGAUUGCUGAACAGCUCAAGGAUGAGGAGUGCAGAGAGGCCGUGUCUGCAAUAAGACACUCCACAGAUGAAUCCGUGGUCAAAGAGAAGAUGAGAGCCACCUUCGAAUACAGACAGAAGCUGGUUCAUGACCAGGAUGCAACAUCUUCGGUCUUUGACGUCUUCCCUCGUUUCCUUGGCAUACCCGGACUGGUAUCGCUUUCUAACAGUUUUGAGAUCCCAUUUUAACUUUUAUUAAUUAGUCUGUUUUUAGGAUCCCCUGCUGCUGUUUUGUACGGUUUUAGUUGUUCUGUUUAGCUGUGCUGUUUUGUUUUGGUUCCGUUUGCUAUUUUGUUUUGGUUGCUUUGGUUCAGUUUGCUUUUGUGUUAUUUCCCCUUUUCUGUUUCAUUGUUUGACCUUUGGGUUAAUGGGUUACAUAACCCCUGUUUUGCUGUUUGGUUUGGUUUGG